Manis javanica (Malayan pangolin) is the source of this 2448-nucleotide long non-coding RNA. RefSeq lists it as uncharacterized. NCBI's taxonomy places the organism in Eukaryota, Metazoa, Chordata, Mammalia, Pholidota, Manidae. The record is from RefSeq and is a predicted model, not a curated record.
GCCCCCGAGGCGUGGGAACGCUGCGCGCACCUGGGGCCCAGGAGCGGCGCUCCAGAUGGAAGAAGCCGUUGCGAGAGUGAGCGCGAGGUUGCUAACUCCGGCAGGGAGUGGGCGCGGGCGCGGGCACGGGCGCACAGGGGAGGGCGCGCUGAGGAGGGCGUGCAGGGGCGUGCUCUGGACCUCGAGUUUCCUCACCCCCUGCUGUCUCCGGAGGAGUGGGUGGAAGACCCCACAGAAUGGAACGUAGGAUGAAGCAGAGGAGGAGCAUAUGGUAAAUGACCAAAAGGAAUGGAGGGAUCAACUACAUGAGGGUUUCAGACAUCUUAGGCACAGGGUGUGAUUCUGGACACAGUGUGGCGAGGCAGCACUGUCCACAGGUUAAGAGCAUCACAGCUAAUUUCAGGCCUUGGAUAGAAAGACUGAAUCCCUUCCUCAGCCCUGGGGAACAAAUUAUUAAGCCAAUGGUUCUCAAACAUUAGUGUAUAUCACAAUCAUCUACAGGAUUUGUUAAAACAUAGAUUGCUGGACUCCACUCCUGAAAUUUCUCAUUCAUUAGGUUUUGGGAGCAUGAAGAAGUAUGAAUAUUAAGCUGCUAACUCAAGGUCCUCCAGAGAAGCCAAAGUUCUACAGUCUACGGCUCACACGGCAGUUCUGAACCGUCUAUCUCUGAGAAGACCCACCCCUUGCCGUCACUCAUCACUGCAGCCUCCUGCCAAUAGCACCUCGGACAUAAAGGGACCCAAAGUCCUACCAGGGGCAAGGUGCACAGCUCCUUCACUGAUGUGCACCUGAUGCGGGCAACCAGCUCCUGAUACACCCCCAGUGAAACUGGACAGAUUCACUCAGCACAGCGCUUCCUUUCUGGGAGCCUGAAGGGAUGGGCAGACAUGGGGAGCGCUGUGCCCUGUUUGGCAGCUACACAUACCCACUGUUUAUCCAUAGAUGUGAAGUUGAGCUAUAAGAAAACUCAGAGGGGAACAGAUUAAAAGUUUCAUAUAAUUCAACAUGGUAGAAAACGGUGUCUUGUCAUUUUAAUGUGCAUCUCUUUAAUUAUAAGAGAAGGCUGCCCUAGAAAAUGGUUUGGUCACUGCCGCAGCUGGACUUCCAGAUGCAGCAGGCAAGAGCAGCCUUCAGAACAUCUGUACGAAGACACUGGCCUCCGGCCUGGCUGCCAUGUUGUGAGCUGCCCUAUGGAAAGGCACACGUGGCAAGGGGCAGAGGAAUUCAGCCAGCAGCCAGCAAGGACGUGAGGGCUGCCCGCAGCCUGGAGCAUGAUCUCGGAAGCGGAUCUUCUCCUACUCUCCCUGGCUGACCCCUUGAUUGAAACCUUGUGAUCCUGCGACACUCGGUGAAACUACUCCUGGAUUCUUAACCCACAGAAACUAUGAGUUAGUAAGUAUUUGUUGUUUUAAGCUGCCGAGUUUGGGGUUACCUUGUCACACAAGAACAGAUAACUAAAACCAUUCAUCUCAUUGAACCCAAUGGCAAUUCUUUGGAAAAAUGUCUACUUCCUCCCCAAACUAAAAUCCAUUAGACUUAGUAGUCAGGUGUUAGGCAGUGACUUUAUGAUGACGCAUAGCAGGACAUGGCAAGGUACUUAAAAGCACUGCUGGUUUGAAGAAGCAUCCCCUAACUUCUGUGGCAUCCUGUGUGCCUGCCUUCAGUUCCUGGGUUAGUCUUACAGUUACAGAUUUUUUUGCUCCAUCUCUCAACCAUGUUUCCAGCAUUUCCUCCACUUGGAUCCUAGUAAUCAACCUUGGCUGACCCCUAACACUCCACGUCCUGGACCACAAAAUAAACCCCAUCCUCUGAUCAUAGCUUCUUCAAGAUUAUGUUUACUCUUUGGUUUUGGCUCUGCUCAGAUUUUUUCGUGCCUUCCAGAGCAUUAUCCCUUUGUCCUACCUACUGAUGAAGCAAACCAUUUAUUUCUCAAAUAAUGCUAAAUAAGAUCAAGUCAUACUUGAAGUAAUUUAGUAGUGUAGGGUUUCUGGAGUUACUGAAUAAUGAGAGAAUUUUAUAGUAACUAUCAUUUUUAGUGGAUUAUAAAAUAACAAUGUCAUCAUUGCCAAUAAAUUUUGAAUAAGCUAUAAACAGUGGCCUAACAGUAAGUUUAGGUUCCUGAGAAUUAAAAGAUUAGAGUUCAUUCUAAAUCAUAUAAUAAUAGUUUUCUCCUUCAAAUCAAUACAGUGUUUUUCCUAAAAUGAAUGGAGGUGCUCUCUGAAUCAAGAAUUUGUCUUAUACUCACAAAAUAAUUAUGCAACAUAUAUUCACUGAAAAACUACAAAAGGCAAGGUGCUGGGAUAGGUUUUAUGGGAACAUAACAAAAAUGAAGCUAGAAAAGUAAGGGGAAAUAUUUUCAAGAACUUUUUCCUCCAACUGCCUACUCUGUUGUGAAAUAGUUUAGAAAAAUAUUUUUCUUCCUUACUCAUGUUUCACUUGAGACUUCAA